UACGUAGGGUCCGAGCGUUGUCCGGAAUUACUGGGCGUAAAGAGCUCGUAGGUGGUUUGUCGCGUUGUUCGUGAAAACUCACAGCUCAACUGUGGGCGUGCGGGCGAUACGGGCAGACUAGAGUACUGCAGGGGAGACUGGAAUUCCUGGUGUAGCGGUGGAAUGCGCAGAUAUCAGGAGGAACACCGGUGGCGAAGGCGGGUCUCUUGGGCAG
RNAcentral lists this ribosomal RNA (214 nucleotides) under uncultured bacterium. RNAcentral's name for it is "partial 16S ribosomal RNA". It matches the Rfam family "Bacterial small subunit ribosomal RNA", at positions 524 to 736 of the family's 1533-position model. The record is from RNAcentral.